AGAGCGAGAGGGUGUUAGGAGCAGCCCAGUUGUUUCUCUCUCUCUACCUCUGUGAAGGGCGCGAAUGGGCAGAGCAGAACUUCUAGAAGGGAAGAUGGGCACCCAGGAUCCCUCAGAUCUGUGGAGCAGAUCCGAUGGAGAGGCUGAGCUGCUCCAGGACUUGGGGUGGUAUCACGGCAACCUCACGCGCCAUGCUGCCGAAGCUCUUCUUCUCUCAAAUGGGUGUGACGGCAGCUACCUUCUGAGGGACAGCAAUGAGACCACUGGGCUGUACUCUCUCUCUGUGAGGGCCAAAGAUUCUGUUAAACACUUUCAUGUUGAAUAUACUGGAUAUUCAUUUAAAUUUGGCUUUAAUGAAUUCUCAUCUUUGAAGGAUUUUGUCAAGCAUUUUGCAAAUCAGCCUUUGAUUGGAAGCGAGACAGCUGGGCACCAAAGAAGGUUACCUCACCAAACAGGGAGGCCUGGUCAAGACCUGGAAAACAAGGUGGUUUACUCUGCACAGGAAUGAACUGAAAUACUUCAAAGACCAGAUGUCACCAGAACCAAUUCGGAUCCUAGACCUAACAGAAUGUUCAGCUGUACAAUUUGAUUAUUCACAAGAAAGGGUAAACUGUUUUUGGUAAGUUGUUUUAUAAAGAAAACGUUUUUUAAUGUCUUCUUGCCAGACACUUAUUUUGGCUAAGGAAUAGAAAGCUGUAUAUCUUAAUGUCUACAAAGUUCAGAUCUGAGGGGGCAUGCCUGCAUGUAACAGUAUUUUCAGCUGAGUGUGACAUAACACCUCAUUUAAAGUAGCUUAAACAAACAGGCAGGUCAGCUCAGCUUAUGUUGCGUACUGGAGAAGUAUAACUCACAUAGAGGAUGCCAUUCACAUCUUAGACAAUUUAAUUUCUUUGAGGCUUUCUACCUCAUUUUAUUUAUGACUUUGUUGACUCUAAUAAUAGGUGAUUUGUAUUGUUAUGACAAUUUCUGGCAGAUGGCACAAAAAUAUUUUGUUCUAACAUAAUCAGCAUGUUAUAAAAAUGUUCUAACUGGGAGAAGAGUCUUGAGAAA
Molecule: small RNA, 1050 nt
Filed under: Pongo abelii (Sumatran orangutan)
Lineage: Eukaryota; Metazoa; Chordata; Mammalia; Primates; Hominidae
Description: retained intron
Source: RNAcentral